This is a long non-coding RNA of Betta splendens (Siamese fighting fish), 1105 nucleotides long. RefSeq lists it as uncharacterized. NCBI's taxonomy places the organism in Eukaryota, Metazoa, Chordata, Actinopteri, Anabantiformes, Osphronemidae. The transcript has 5 exons. The record is from RefSeq and is a predicted model, not a curated record.
AGAAAUGUGCUGUCAUGCUAUGCAUUUCCUGAGGUAAUUUACACGAACCUACCAAAAUGGUGUUUGAGUUAUUUCACUCUACAUAUUGUUUGCAUUGUAUAUCGUAUUAUCAUAAAUCUAUUUGUUUCACACGGUAAAGGAAAAUAAUCAAAUUACUUACACAAGUAUUUAUUUAAUUAAGCUUUAACAUUUGUACCUUUUUUAUAAGAUUGUGUACUCAUUUCACAGCACAUAAUUGGUUUCCUAAUUUAUUACAGCUAUUUUGACUUGAAACCUGUUCUUUAUCAUCUAAAAUGUGUCUCUUGGUGUUUACCUCCAAUGGCCAUUCUGUGAAAGUGUCCCAUUCUAGAGCUGAGAAGAGACAGCAGGACAGGGAAUCAUCUGCUAGUGUCGCGUCAGAUGUCUACAUGUCCACAAGUUGUUUAAGAAAAAGUAAGUAGAUACGACUAUUGCAAACACAAGGCAAGAAGUUAUCAGAGAUGAACCCUUCAUCACCGAGUUCAAAACCAGAUGGCCUGCUCUCUUCUGUGUUUCUGAGAAUAAAUUUAAGAGGACUACAACAGUUUGCUGCAACAGUUCUUCUCCAUGCUGGAUGGUUAUUCUUCAGACCUGAAAACGGUGUUUGGCAAGGAAGGCGGCAUUCAAGGACAAAAGAUUAAGAGCAUCAUGGUUCCCAUAACCCAGACUAACUCCAUUGAUGUCAGAAGAGUACAUCCUUUAAGCCCAGUGUGUGUUCCUCAAUGAAGAUCCUGGCAACCUUGUGAAAGAAUGGAUGAUCGUGGACGCCUUGAAGAAGCCAUGAUAGAGACAAUUCUUGAAGUUUUUGUCAUUCACAAAGAUGCAGAGGCAGAUGAUGACCCUGAAGAUGUAGUCAUCGUUUCAAGUCUUGGAUGAGUUGGGUAGUGUCCCACUUGCUGUGUUGUUGUUGUUUGCUCUUGUUAUAUGCUCUCAACCUCAGCUACCCUCCACUAAAAGUUGUUUGAAAUAUUGGCCCAAUGCUGUAUGUACAAUACUGGAUGUUAGUGACAUUUUGUAGCUGCCUUUGACAUUUGAAAGCUGUUUUAUCGUUUUUAUGAAGCUUAUAAAGUAUUCUAACCAGUCUAAA